CAGAAUCCGUUAGUCCUAACUGAAAAUUGGCAGCUUGACAAUUAUCCAAAGCUGGAAAAUCUGGAAUAAUGGUUAACCGUAAAACUUUAGCUGAUGAAAUUAUUGAUAACUGGUGUAGCUGUCAUGAAAGUGGAUUAGAACAGACAAGCAACCAACAUGUAAGGAAAAAAGAAAAGGUUGAUUGAUAUUAAUACCAAGAAGUUAUCUAAAUGACAACUGGUUGGAAAUAUAGUCCAUUAUCAUCUGGACGUUCUAACUAUAGAAUCAAAU
RNAcentral lists this long non-coding RNA (270 nucleotides) under Gossypium barbadense (sea-island cotton). RNAcentral's name for it is "long non-coding RNA (GBAR_LNC012728)". Lineage: Eukaryota; Viridiplantae; Streptophyta; Magnoliopsida; Malvales; Malvaceae. The record is from RNAcentral.